Molecule: ribosomal RNA, 538 nt
Filed under: uncultured Geobacteraceae bacterium
Lineage: Bacteria; Pseudomonadati; Thermodesulfobacteriota; Desulfuromonadia; Geobacterales; Geobacteraceae
Description: bacterial SSU rRNA
Rfam family: Bacterial small subunit ribosomal RNA
Source: RNAcentral
GAGUUUGAUCCUGGCUCAGAACGAACGCUGGCGGCGUGCUUAACACAUGCAAGUCGAACGUGAUCCAGAGCUUGCUCUGGUGAAAGUGGCGCACGGGUGAGUAACGCGUGGAUAACCUGCCCUGGUAUCUGGGAUAACAUCUCGAAAGGGGUGCUAAUACCGGAUAAGCCUACGGGAUCUUCGGAUUCUGCAGGAAAAGGAGGCCUCUAUUUAUAAGCUCCCGUAUCAUGAUGGGUCCGCGUACGAUUAGCUAGUUGGUGGGGUAACGGCCUACCAAGGCGACGAUCGAUAGCUGGUCUAAGAGGAUGAUCAGCCACACUGGAACUGAGACACGGUCCAGACUCCUACGGGAGGCAGCAGUGGGGAAUUUUGCGCAAUGGGGGAAACCCUGACGCAGCAACGCCGCGUGGGUGAUGAAGGCUUUCGGGUCGUAAAGCCCCGUCGGAUGGAAAGAAUCGACUGGUGUUAAUAGCGCCAGUUUUGACGGUACCAUCAAAGGAAGUCACGGCUAACUCUGUGCCAGCAGCCGCGGUAAUAC